Non-coding RNA from Lolium perenne, 1668 nucleotides. NCBI's taxonomy places the organism in Eukaryota, Viridiplantae, Streptophyta, Magnoliopsida, Poales, Poaceae. The record is from RefSeq and is a predicted model, not a curated record.
AAGGUAUAAAUGAUGCCCCCCAUAGGGGGCUUCACAGCGAUUAGUGAUUCUCAGCCAUCGGAUCCUCCCAGCAAAGAUCUCGGCCAUCCAUUUUUUUUACAGCUAGGUAUAAAAGGGAGCAGAAACCCUAUAGCCUCCAAUCCCCUCACGCGCCCCUGCCUAUUCCCGCAGCCAAUCUCGUGCCCUCUUCUCUCCCCAAUCCCUGCCUCCAUCUCUCCCCAAUCCACGCCUCCUUCUCUCCUCCAAUCCCUUCUCCUCCGUUGGUUUUCUCCAUGGCUGGAGCUGGGAGAGGCAAAGGGAAGCCUCACACCAUGGACGAGGAGGUGGAGCCCCUGCUCUCCUCCUCACGCCCCUGCUCUCCUCCUCCCUUACCACCUCCACCUCUUCUUCCAGCUCUAUCCCCUUUCCACUCCAUGGUGCACCACUUCCUUCUCUCCCCCCCUUUAUUUCCUACCAUACCUUAGCUCGUCCUUCCCUACAACAAGAAUAUUUUAUGGUCUAGAUACUAGAGGAAGAAGAAGAGGUGGCAAGAAGAGGAUCAAGAGGGGGAGAAGGAAGAUAAGAAGAUCUCCGUGUUUCCUGUACGGUUCCUCUUGAUUCAGCUCCAAGGGAGAAGAAAAUGGAGCGGGUGGUGACUUUGAGAGAUGUUAAGAAGCAAGGAGUGUUGUGGUUGGGUUCUUUGGUGAAUAUGAACUGCUUCUCACAAGGCCUAUUGUUAUUUCACACUCCAUGAAUUAGGUAGCAAACAGUCGAAGUUAAGAUACCAAAUGGAUCAAGGUUGGAGCAGGAGCGGAACAAUACAUGAGCCUCCUUAUGUAUUACUAGAACAAGGCCUCAUUUGAACACGAUGUAGAUCGAAUGUGAAAAGUUGCAUAACAAAGUGGGUUAUCAUGCACAUAAUGAAAUAUGUUUAAUGCGCUCAAUAUCAUUGAAGAUGUAGUUAUGGACAUACACAUGUGGUUCUAUCCACUAUGAUAUACUCAUGGUGGGAUGUUUGAUUGCUGCAGGUACUAUAUAUUGGCCAGCAUUCAUAACCGCGGUUCUUGCCGCAAUAGUUGUGACAUGUGAGCCAAGCCACCAUAUCUACUACCUUGUCAGUUAUUAAACAUGCUUUUGCGCUGGGUUGUUUUCACUGUGUUAGUGUUGUGCCCACCUCAAAAACAUUCCUUGGGCAGAUUUACUCCCUGACAUCAAUUGGUUGCUAUGAUUCUUUGCAUUGCUAGAACUGCUCGAUUUAAGAAUAAAAUCCAGCUACGAAACACAUACGGUGAGCUUUACUUUUUGCAACUUCCUUUGCAUCUUGAGCAUAUAACUAAAUAGGGAGUAUUUCUUUUUUCAACGAACGUCACUUAAAUUUGUAAGUUGAUCUGGUAUUCAAACUGUGGCUAAACAGAGGAUAGGCAGGGUACUUUUCAUUUCACUACUGGACAGAGUAAACAGCGUCUUCUCUUAACAAUAUAUCUAAACUUUGUCACAUGAUAUGAUGACAUUUGAUUCUCGAAUAUACCUGAAUAAGAAAUCACUCAGCCUAGCACAAAUAGUUGGAUAAUACUAAAUAUAAUUUCUUUCUGUGUUGUUUGAUGCAGACCACUCUAAAAUUUACCAUGUUACCAUUGCAAACUUUGUCUAGGCUAAAUUACACUUGUAUGCUAUGAUUUGAAGUGUUGU